This 204-nucleotide ribosomal RNA is filed under the name Triticum aestivum (bread wheat). RNAcentral's name for it is "partial small subunit ribosomal RNA". The record is from RNAcentral. Lineage: Eukaryota; Viridiplantae; Streptophyta; Magnoliopsida; Poales; Poaceae.
AUGGGCUUCGGCGGGCCGUGCAUGCUGCUGGCUUGUCUUCCAUGCUCCGUCAAUGGCAAACUGCUCCUGGGCUCGACCCGCAACACGAGGACGUCGGGGGCUCCGACCCUCGGCGUGGCGGUGGUGGCUACUUCCUUCGCCGGAGGUGGUCGGCCAGCUGGUUGUGGCAUCACACAUCCAGUCCCAGCGCCGAGUGGGAGAUGA